UACGUAGGGUGCAAGCGUUUGUCCGGAAUUAUUGGGCGUAAAGAGCUCGUAGGCGGUUUUGUUGCGUCGGCUGUGAAAUCCCGAGGCUCAACCUCGGGUCUGCAGUCGAUACGAGCAAACUAGAGUGUUGCAGGGGAGACUGGAAUUCCUGGUGUAGCGGUGAAAUGCGCAGAUAUCAGGAGGAACACCGGUGGCGAAGGCGGGGUCUCUGGGCAACAACUGACGCUGGAGGAGCGAAAGCGUGGGGAGCGAACAGG
RNAcentral lists this ribosomal RNA (257 nucleotides) under uncultured bacterium. RNAcentral's name for it is "partial 16S ribosomal RNA". It matches the Rfam family "Bacterial small subunit ribosomal RNA", at positions 524 to 776 of the family's 1533-position model. The record is from RNAcentral.